GGGGGGUGGUCAGAGCAAGGGGCCUCUCAAGAACGGCUUCAAUGUUUACCACACACCCAAGAGAAAUCUGGGGCCAUUGUAAUGAGGGGCACAACACUGUGUCCUCUCUGCUCUCUGGGCACAGUUCCCCUACAUGC
Molecule: small nucleolar RNA, 137 nt
Organism: Phodopus roborovskii (desert hamster)
Lineage: Eukaryota; Metazoa; Chordata; Mammalia; Rodentia; Cricetidae
Product: small nucleolar RNA SNORA11
Exons: 1
Source: RefSeq, a predicted model, not a curated record